GAUGAACGCUAGCGGCAGGCCUAACACAUGCAAGUCGAGGGAGAGGUUACCUUCGGGUAACCAAAACCGGCGCACGGGUGCGUAACGCGUAUACAAUCUGCCUUUCACAUAGGGAUAGCCCGAAGAAAUUUGGAUUAAUACCUAAUGGUAUAUAAGAGCGGCAUCGUUUUUAUCUUAAAGCUACGGUGGUGAACGAUGAGUAUGCGUUCUAUUAGCUAGUUGGAGAGGUAACGGCUCCCCAAGGCGACGAUAGAUAGGGGUUCUGAGAGGGAUGUCCCCCACACUGGUACUGAGAUACGGACCAGACUCCUACGGGAGGCAGCAGUGAGGAAUAUUGGACAAUGGUCGGAAGACUGAUCCAGCCAUGCCGCGUGCAGGAUGAAGGUCCUAUGGAUUGUAAACUGCUUUUGUAAGGGAAGAAUAAGGAGUACGUGUACUUUGAUGACGGUACCUUACGAAUAAGCAUCGGCUAACUCCGUG
This 480-nucleotide ribosomal RNA is filed under the name uncultured bacterium. Its description in RNAcentral is "partial 16S ribosomal RNA". It matches the Rfam family "Bacterial small subunit ribosomal RNA", at positions 28 to 507 of the family's 1533-position model. The record is from RNAcentral.